UGCUUCGGGACAACAUCCAGGGCAUCACC
This 29-nucleotide non-coding RNA is filed under the name Mus musculus (house mouse). Lineage: Eukaryota; Metazoa; Chordata; Mammalia; Rodentia; Muridae. The record is from RNAcentral.